Molecule: ribosomal RNA, 484 nt
Filed under: uncultured bacterium
Lineage: Bacteria
Description: partial 16S ribosomal RNA
Rfam family: Bacterial small subunit ribosomal RNA
Source: RNAcentral
AUUGAACGCUGGCGGCAGGCCUAACACAUGCAAGUCGAGCGGAUGACGGGAGCUUGCUCCUGGAUUCAGCGGCUGACUUGUGAGUAAUUCCUAGGAAUCUGCCUGGUAGUGGGGGAUAACGUCCGGUACCGGGCGCUAAUACCGCAUACGUCCUGAGGGUACCAGAUGGGCGUCUACGAACCCAUCGCUCUCAGUUGAGCAAAGGUCGGAUUUACUAGUUGGUGGGGUAGAGGCCUCUCAAGGCUACGAUCCGUAACUGGUCUGAGAGGAAGAUCAGUCAGACUGGAACUGAGACACGGUCCAGACUCCUACGGGAGGCAGCAGUGGGGAAUAUUGGACAAUGGGCGAAAGCCUGAUCCAGCCAAGCCGCGGGUAUGAAGAAGGACUUCGGAUUGUAAAGCACUUAAGGUUGGGAGGAAGGGCAGUAAGUUAAGACCUGGCUGUUUUGACGUUACCAACAGAAUAAGCACCGGCUAACUUCGUG